GGAAAACAAAGUGUCCUGUGAAUGUCAGUUAUUGAUGCAUGGUGUACGGCAAACACCAUUUUUUUUUCUUCCUGUUUUUCUUUGUCUUUUAGUUUCUGUUUCUCUAACCUUCACCCCUUUACCUUUUCAAUGGAACUUUGCUAUUUCCUAUUUCCUAUUCAGAUCUUCCUCUUUUCUCAAAUCUGGAAGGGAGCAGCUUGCUACUGUUCAAUCUGCGGAGAAGAUGGGUCUCAAGAGACUAUUCCCUGCUAAUUUGGCGACCUCUCCUGAAUCAGCUUCAGAUGGCACUGUGUGUGAAGAGUGAAUGAUUUCCUGAUCGUUGAUUACCAGAAUUGGACUUGAUUCCCAGCAGCCUUGUAAGAUCUCAUCUGUUGGUGAAUAUUGGUAGCAGUGAUGAAGGGAUGAUUCAACAACAAAAGUUCUGGAGAGAAAAUAGACAUCUCCCUCCUCAUUCAACACCUUCAGUCCUAUGGCCAUAAUCCUCCCAGUUAGAAGGCAUUUGGGGAAAUAAGGAACAUAAUUAGCAUUUACCUAUACAGAAUCACAACUAAGUGAUUGCUUACUACUUUCUCUCUUUUUAUGCCUUCCUAUUUCUUUCCCUAGUGGGUUCAGCACGGGAAAAGUCUGGCUUUGUAUCAUCCCAGAGUCAUGGAGCAGAUUUCCAUACUGACCUCAAAGACCAUCUGAUGAAAACAUGAUCCCUUUUGUUCUAUAGGGAUAUAUAAAAACAUUAUAAAUCAGCAUCUUAUUUGUUCAUUUAUAUCUUCCAUUUCUGUGAUGUUUGACAGUUGUUUUGUCGAUGGCAACUACCAUAUGUUAAAAAUGAGCUUCUGGAAUGCAAUUCUGGCUUGUGUCCAUCAGAGAAGGAAAUUCUGGAAUGCCCUACAAUUUGUACUUUCCUAGCAAUUCUUGAUUCUUAAAACAUUCUAUGAAUGCUCUCAUUGGAGAAAAAGUUAUAACAAAAUCCACUUCUUUUAAGCAAUCACAAAAAUUAGGUGUCUGAAUGUACAAGGUAUCGAUGUUUGGGCAAAAUUGAAAUUAUUGUGCUUGUUUCAUGGGAAAAGCUUAGGGGAGUUUAUUGUCCUAAGUUGGGUUUCCUGAAAACAGACUCACAGCCUUUGAGGCAGAGAUUUGCAUGCUGGCAGUUUGUUUGGGAAUGAACUUGAGAAUAUUUGUAAGGAAGAGAAGGAUGCAGGAAGAAGCAGAGGGAGAAGUUGUACCGCAAUGCAGUUGCAAUGGAGGACUCAGCCAAUCUUACUGGGAGCUCUGGAGCUGCAAUGGGCCUUCAGAAUUGUCACAAAUUGAGGCAAGGGGCUGCGCCUUUGUAUCCCUGCAUGAAUAAAUUAUGAGACUCAGGCCACCUCUGGGGAGGGGCAAGGCUGCUUCCUUUGGCAGAGGGCAGUUCUCAGAAAGGAUCACAAUUGUGAACUUUUAGCAACCAAUCCUCUCUGCUUCUGGGAGAAUGAGUGCCUCAGUCAUGAAUUGGUUACACCACAUUCCCACUGUUUUGUAUCUUCACAAAAUGUGUGCAUGUUUCAAAGAGGGAAUCAUCGGACCAUCCUUUUAGUUAGAAUUGUACUGGGUUUUGACAGUCCUUAAACUCAGGUGCACAAGAAAUAUCAUAUUAUGUAUGAUAUUACCUAAGUUCAACUUCAAGUCCCCAUCCUGCCGGGAUACAUUGGAAAUGUAACUUCAGUCAUGCUCAGGACUUCUUUUCUAACUUGGGCUAUUUCUAGGUUCCAGGGUCUUAAGCAGGACCAAGUCUUGGGGGCAGGGUAAAGAAGUAGGAAAUGGUUACUUAUAGCAUGGCCAUUCUGGUUGCCCCUGAGAAGACCACUGACCCCUUUUGCUUUGUCCCUUCAAGGCCAUGCUUGGGAAACACCUAUACCUAUGGUGCUACUUCCUUAGUCAUUUUUUUUCUGGACGUUUGUCACCUACAACAUUUAUAAGCCACUUCUUUUUCCUGCAAACGCCAAUCUCCUUGAAUUUUCAGCAACCAAAAUAAAAUUCUUCUUGGCUAGAGGCAGACAGGACUGGGUCCUCAAACCUUCCUUGAAGGAAAUACUUGGCAGCCUUCCUUUCUCAGGAAUCCAAUAAAGAAAGAAAAACAAAACAGGUAAGUUCUAUAUUAAAAGGGCCUGAAGAUUAAUUUUUUGCUAAAUCACUUCAAGGGUUCUUACUUGCUACAUAGUCUGGUUACAAGAAAAAAGUAACAUUUUUCAAUAGUCUCCGUUAAUUGGGUCUUAUAUACAAGACAAUUUCAAGAACAGUUGUCCAAAAUGACUCUUAAGUUGAAAGGUUGCCUCUUUGAGGCUAAGUUGGAAUAUAAACACAUUGAAACAUUUUCUUUUAAAUGUAUCCAAAUUUUAGGCUAUUUCUCUCCAAACUAGCCUGUGUAUUGUAAUGAUUUCUGUUAGCAAGCAUUUUGAACUUAAAACACUAUUUCUGACACACCAGCGAUGUAAUCAGCUACAGGCAGCCCCAAUCUUUGAAUGUGUUGCUUGCCAAAAAAUUGUUUGCACAUCUGUUUUUAUUAGACUAUAUGUUCUAAAUGUCACAAAACAAUAGCAUAAAUUGUGUGUGUGAUGUCUUUCUGUGUGUGUAAAGACUCUGAGCUCUAUAUGCCAGGGAUGUUUCCUUUCUCCCACUCUUUCUCCCUUAUCAUAGUAUUUAAUAUUUACAUAAGGAAACUAAUAUGUGCUCAAUGCAGAAAAACUCAGGAAACAAAGGAAAUAAAUUUUAAUCACCCAUAAUCUCAUCACUGAUAACAUUAGGUAUAUAACCUAGUAUUUUUUCUAAGCUUGAGAAUACAUACUUUUUACAUUUUUUAAACUUUUAUUUUAGGUUCAGGGGUACAUGUGCAUGUUUGUUAUAUAGAUAAACUCAUGUCACAAGGGUUUGUAGUACAGAUGAUUUUAUCACCCCAGUACUAAGCCUACAACCCAUUAGUUAUUUUUUCUGAUCCUCUCCUUUCACCCACCCUCCACCCUGCAGUAAGCCCCAGUGUGUUGUUCUCCUCUAUGUGUCCAUGUAUUCUCAUCAUUUAGCUCCCACGUAUAAGUGAGAACAUGUGGUAUUUGGUUUUCUGCUUCUGCGUUAGUUAGCUAAAAAUAAGACCUCCAGUUCCAACCAUGCCCAUGCAAAGGACAUGAUCUCAUUCUUUUUUAUGUCUCCAUAGUAGGGAA
This 3185-nucleotide long non-coding RNA is filed under the name Homo sapiens (human). RNAcentral describes it as "HSALNT0120070". The record is from RNAcentral. Lineage: Eukaryota; Metazoa; Chordata; Mammalia; Primates; Hominidae.